This 21-nucleotide non-coding RNA is filed under the name Caenorhabditis elegans. Lineage: Eukaryota; Metazoa; Nematoda; Chromadorea; Rhabditida; Rhabditidae. The record is from RNAcentral.
UCUGGUUUUCGGAGAGCUAUA